AAGGUGUUAGCUCAAUUGGAAGAGCGUCUGUCGGCACAACAGAAGGUGCGGGUUCGAGUCCUUGCACACCUUU
This 73-nucleotide transfer RNA is filed under the name Flavobacterium sp. MC2016-06. RNAcentral's name for it is "tRNA-Cys". It matches the Rfam family "tRNA". From Rfam's summary of the family: Transfer RNA (tRNA) molecules are approximately 80 nucleotides in length. Their secondary structure includes four short double-helical elements and three loops (D, anti-codon, and T loops). The record is from RNAcentral. Lineage: Bacteria; Pseudomonadati; Bacteroidota; Flavobacteriia; Flavobacteriales; Flavobacteriaceae.